GACGAACGUUGGCGGCGUGCUUAAUACAUGCAAGUCAACUGAAGCACCGGUAGUAAUACUGGUGUGGAGGUGGCGCACGGGUGAGUAACACGUAGGUAAUCUGCCUUCAGGUCUGACAUAACCCCGAGAAAUCGGGGCUAAUAGCAGAUGAUGCAGCGGCUUGACAUCAAGACAGUUGUUAAAGCUUCGGCGCCUGAAGAUGAGCCUGCGUCUGAUUAGCUGGUUGGCGGAGUAAUAGCCCACCAAGGCGACGAUCAGUAGCUGGUCUGAGAGGAUGAUCAGCCACACUGGAACUGAGACACGGUCCAGACCUCCGUACGGGAGG
This 325-nucleotide ribosomal RNA is filed under the name uncultured bacterium. RNAcentral's name for it is "bacterial SSU rRNA". It matches the Rfam family "Bacterial small subunit ribosomal RNA", at positions 28 to 348 of the family's 1533-position model. The record is from RNAcentral.